This 429-nucleotide ribosomal RNA is filed under the name Gemmatimonadota bacterium. RNAcentral describes it as "Gemmatimonadetes bacterium partial 16S ribosomal RNA". It matches the Rfam family "Bacterial small subunit ribosomal RNA", at positions 355 to 776 of the family's 1533-position model. Lineage: Bacteria; Pseudomonadati; Gemmatimonadota. The record is from RNAcentral.
UAGGGAAUCUUCGGCAAUGGACGAAAGUCUGACCGUGCAACGCCGCGUGAGUGAAGAAGGUUUUCGGAUCGUAAAACUCUGUUGUUAGAGAAGAACAAGGACGUUAGUAACUGAACGUCCCCUGACGGUAUCUAACCAGAAAGCCACGGCUAACUACGUGCCAGCAGCCGCGGUAAUACGUAGGUGGCAAGCGUUGUCCGGAUUUAUUGGGCGUAAAGCGAGCGCAGGCGGUUUCUUAAGUCUGAUGUGAAAGCCCCCGGCUCAACCGGGGAGGGUCAUUGGAAACUGGGAGACUUGAGUGCAGAAGAGGAGAGUGGAAUUCCAUGUGUAGCGGUGAAAUGCGUAGAUAUAUGGAGGAACACCAGUGGCGAAGGCGGCUCUCUGGUCUGUAACUGACGCUGAGGCUCGAAAGCGUGGGGAGCAAACAGG